This 9342-nucleotide long non-coding RNA is filed under the name Nicotiana tabacum (common tobacco). Its description in RNAcentral is "long non-coding RNA (NTAB_LNC003933)". Lineage: Eukaryota; Viridiplantae; Streptophyta; Magnoliopsida; Solanales; Solanaceae. The record is from RNAcentral.
ACCCCAUCAUUUCCUCAUCUGUCUUACUCUCUCUCACCAUCCGCCCAGAGCCACCACCAGAAAUCGCUCACGGCACGACAUCACUCCAAACACCCUCAAACUUUCACCAAAAAUUCUCCACCCUCUCCUCUUUCCAAAUCCCUUAACUUUUCCCUUCAAAACCUUUCCAUUUUUGUCAAUUUUCAGAUCUACGACACUAAACCCUACCAGCCACUUGCCCUCUUUUCAAUUACUCGACUGAUUAUACCCUGUUUACGAUUGAAAUUUUCACCAGUCGAAUGCUCUUGAUGAGAGCUAUCCACUAAUGUAAAAUUCACACCAUAUCUCGGAGGUUGCAUUUUGGUCAACCCACUAUUGACCGGCCAAAAUCUUUCAGAAAUUAUUUCUGUCAUUUCGUCUCCAUUUUAUUAGGUAAUAUUAUGUACUUCUUCUUCUUAGCUAGUUGAUUCUUCGUCUUCGUCUUUGUCCAAAUUUUAUCAAAAUGCAAUGAUUGUAAGUUUGUUCUUUCGUAUGUUUAGCAUGCUUUAAGUUAGAUAGGAUUCAAGAUCCAUUAGUUCUUUAUUUACAUAAUUAGAUUAAUAGUUCAGUUGCGUAGCAGUUAGUUUAAUUACAAGUUUGUAGGCUAAAUGAUCUUGAAUUAGUUACAUGAAUAAAUUAGGUUAAUCAUUUUAAUCUGAUUGAAUUUUGAAUAUUUCUUGCUUGGCUGUGAUUUUUAAUUGGUUUAAGUUUCUUGGUAUAGUUAUCCAUAAUUAUUAAGAACUUGAGGGAGCCUAAUAGAAUAUGAAGCUUAGGGGAAUUUUAGUCUAUAACUAACUUAGAAGGUUCUAGAAGGGAAAGAAAGGGAUGGAAAGCAAUAAAACAGUAAAAAAAAAUUAGGUCAAAAGGGACUUAAGGGUUAAAUAAUAGAAAAAGAAAUGGGCUGAAAAAUAAGGAAAGAAUAUCUGAAAGACAAUUGUACCAAAAAUCUAUUAAGGAAAAAUGUCUUUUUUCCCAUUUCACAACUGACACCUCUUCUAUAUAUUCUCUUAUUUUUUGCAUGUCACACAUUAACACUUUCUUCAUUCAUUCUCACUCAUACACACCUCUUCUUACUCACACACGAAAAAAGCACUCCCAAAAUUAGCUGCAAACAAAAUUUUGGAAUUCAAAAACUAGAUUUCAGAUCUAAAAAGUGGAAGGUUUCAUAUUAAUAAGAUUAAAUUAGAAUUCGAAAAGCAAGUUUGAAAUUCCUUUGAUUUAUGGUGUUAACUUUCUGGAUUGCCAAAGAGUUUGGUGCUGCUUCUAUUUGUUUUUGGCUUGAACACCAUCCUCUGUAUUUAGUCCUUUAUUUGGUCAGCUUUCCUAUUGCAUUUCUUUGCUGCUCGGUAUGUUAUGCUCAUCUGUAAUUAGCUGUUGGAUUUAUAAAUGGUGAUUUUGAAUUGUUCAUGUUAAGGUCAUGCUUAAUCUCAUGAAUUUAACUAUGUUUAUUCAGCAAAUUUGCUCCUGAUUGUUCUGUUUGCCAACAACUGAUCUUGCUUGUUCCUUUGAAGAUUUCAUAUACUGAUGUAGUGCUUAGUCGGUUGCUAAUUAACUGUGUUUAGUCAUUGUAUUAAAUUGAAGUUAUUGCUAUCUGAUCUGGAUUCUUGUUAAGUGUUGUUUAGUUUUACUAAAAAUUUUGGCAAAUGUUGAAGUAAGCUAAGUGAUACUCAUGCAUUUCUGCAAGUAGUAAUGGGUAAAUCUAGAAAUUGAAACAAGGAUUUUCAAAAUUACUAGUAUUUCUGAUUGUAAUUAUCGAGGAUAGUUAUUUUGAUGUACUGAUUCUAAAUUGAAAAUGAGGUUUAAACUUCCUAUUUGUCAGAAUAAUCAAAUUUGUAAUGUCAUGAACAAUCAGUUGUUUCAUUCUUUCAUUCUGAGAUUAUAGUUGUAUAUGUUUACUUGUACAGUCCAAGUCUUACAUAGUUGGGUCUGAUGUUACAGUUGGCCUAUUUUGUGGCUCAAAUUGUGAGUUGAGAGUACUGGGCCUCAUCAGGGAGAGCCUAUUAGAAGCUCUGGAUAUGUUAAUUCGUUAAAACCCAUUCAUAAAUCAGAAAUAAUCUCACCUGGUGAUAGUAGGCCAAAUUUUGGCCUUUUGCAGCUAAAUUUGAAACUAAUGCGACCUUACUCUUUAAACAUCCUUGAGUUGAAAUAAAGCUUCCAUUUUAAGUUAGCACUAAUGCAAUUAACAUUUGAAUCUGUAGAAGUGGUCCACCUUUUGUCCAGUUCUAUUACUAAUCUCAACUAUUCAAACCAUAAACUCAUGGCUGCCACGUUUAGCCAUAAUCUAUGAUUUUUUACAAAUAGCCCUAAACUUAGGAAAAUGAAAAAACUUAUGAAUAUUCGUAGAAUGCUUUAUGCGCGCUUUUAAUUUACUAUCGUGAUUAUGUACACGUUUGAGUGACAUAAUUAUAAUCUCAAAAAUAAGUCAAGGUACGCAUUCACACGACUUUGGCCAAACAAUCUUAAUAAUUAAUAAAGGUGUUAUUAAUUGUGUACAUGUACGGUGACACAAUUUUAGCGCACUAAAUAAAAUAGAUUUACACACACAUGAUCCGUUUCAAAGAUAAAUCCAUAAUACCAUAAUUAAAAGCGGUAAAAGGUAAAAUGCAUAUAGGCUCUAAAAAUACGUAAUAAAGCCAAGUAUGAUCAAAGCAACCAUGCUAAAAUUACAGAAUUCGGGAAUGCCUAAUGCCUUUGUAAUGACUUGACCGUUCAUUUUGAGCAUUUUCACUUCGCUCGUUAGUUCUCGGGCAUGACUAGUCCCGUGUGAUGUAUUAUGAUUUAUGUAAACCAUCAGUUUUGGUUUUCAGGGUAAUCAGAAUGAAUUUGGAAGAACAGUUCUCAGUUUGAAGCUUAAAAUUUGAAAGGUUUGACAAAGUUUUGACUUGUUAGUAUAUGAUCUCGGAUUGGAAUUUUUAUGAUUUGGUUAGCUCCGUUAGGUGAUUUGGGACUUAGGAGCGUGAUCGAAAUGUAUUUUGGAGGCCCGUGGAAAGGUUUAGGCUUGAAUUGGCGAAAUUGAAAUUUUGGCGUUUUCCUGUUGAUAGGUGAAAUUUUGAUAUAUGGGUCAGAAUAGAAUUCCGGAUGUUGGAGUAGGACCGUUGUGCCAUUUGUGUUGUGUGUGAAAAAUUUCAGGUCAUUUGGACGAGGUUUGAUAGACUUUUUGAUCGAAAACGGAAUUUGGAUGUUUUUGGAAUUCUUAGGAUUGAAUCCGAUGUGAUUUGAUCAAUUCGAUGUUGUUUGAGGUGUUUUGAAGAUUGGUAUAAGUUUGGGUGGUGGUAUACGACUUUUUGGUGCUUUUGUUUGAGGUCUUGGGGGCCUCGGGGUGAUUUCGGAUGGUUGGCGGAAUAUUUUGAGUUGGGUUGGCAGCUAAAGACUUUCCUAUUGCUGUCAUAACCGCACCUGCGACUAGGGGACCGCAGGUGCGGGCUCGCAGAAGUGGAGAUGGAGCCGCAGAUGCGGCAAAUAGGUAAGUCAGCUGGAACCACAGAAGUGGAUAAGGGAGCGCACCUGUGAUAGCAUAGGUGCAGGCAUUGCAUCGCAGAUGCAAAAAUGGGCUCAUAAGUGAAAAUCGCAGAUGCGAUAUCUUGGACCGCAGGUGCGGAAUCCCUGGGUCAGAAGGUAUAUAUUUCACCCUUCGUGAUUUUUGGCCAUUUUUCUUAAUAUUUCAUUUGGGGAGAAGCUUUUGCGAGCCAUUUCAAUGGAGAUUUUCAGAGGGAUUCAUUGAGGUAAGGUCCUUGGUUCCUAAGCUCAUUAUUAUGGUGAUUUUUAUCGUUGUUAGCAUGAAAUUUAAGGGAAAAUCAGUGGUAAAUUUGGGGAUUAGGGCUUGGGUAAUUAGAGAGCUUUGAGGGGUGAUUUGAGGGACCAUUUGAGGUCCGAUUUUGGUACUUUUGAUAUGCAUGAACUCGUGGUGGAAUAAGGGUUCUAUUGAUGUAAAAUUUGUCGAAUUUUGAGACAUGGGCCCGGGGGUCGGGUUUGGCCAAUUUCGGGAUUUGUGAUGUAAAUUGAUUAUUUUCGAGUGAGCUUUGUUCCUUUAGCGUAUUUUGAUGGUAUAAUUCUGUUUUUGGAUAGAUUUGGAGCAUUUGGAGGCUGAGUCGAGAGGCAAAGGCAUCGCGGGCUAGAGUUUGGACCGGAUAGAGGUAAGUAAUGAUUGUAAAUGUCUGUCUUGAGGGUAUGAAACCCCUGACUUCACAUCGUUGUGCUACUUUGAGGUGACACACACGCUAGAUGACGAGCGUGGGGUCGUGCACCGUUGGGGAUUGUGACUUAGUCCAUCCCGUAUGACUGUUAAACUGCGUAUUUGAUUGAAAACUAUUUGCUAUCAUUGUGUUUUGGAAAGCAUUAUCCUGUUUUAGGGCUGAACGCCAUAUUUAGGCCUCGUGCCAACUGUUUUGUACCCUUAGGGGCUUUUUACUACUAUUCCUCACUGUUUUGACUUCAAAUUUGUACUCAGUCAUGUUGUAUUCUACUGUUUUCAUAACUUAGCCAUGUUUACCCCAUUUUGAUAUUUUAAAUGAUAUUUUGGGCUGAGCAUUGUCACACCUCCUUUUUCAUAUACCCCCGGCAAGGGGAUAAGGAAGUUUUCCUAAUUAAAGUGACAAUCGAAAUGAGAUUACUUCUUUAUUAAAUUUAGAGUCGCUACAUGGGAUAAUUUUAUGGUGUCCCAAGUCACCGUUUCAAAUCCUGAAUCGAGGAAAGAUUGACUCUGUAUUAUAGUCCGUGAACACAGAAAUCCGGGUAAGGAAUUCUAUUAACCCGGGAGAAGGUGUUAGGCAUUCUCGGAUUCCGUGGUUCUAGCACGGUCGCUCAACUGUUAUAAUUGGCUUAUUAUAUGAUUUUAGUACACUUUUAAACCUAUGCACAUUUUUAACUUUAAACCUCUUUUAAUUAAUUAAUUUUUAGGAAGAUUUCAACGUCACAUAAAACGCGUUUUGAACCACGUCAUAUAAAUGCACCCGCAGUCCGCAACACAUUUUAUCUAAUGCUAUUGAGACUUGGAUUUGGGUCACAUAAGUGCGCACCCGAGUUUAGGAAGGUAAAUUACUAAAUAGUGCGCCUAAAGUAACUACGUAUUUUUAAUUUUGCGAGGGCCAUGGAAAUUUACUAAAUGGCACGCCUCAAAUUCUAAGAAUUUUAAGGGAUAUAAUUAAGUGAGGACCAUGCAUUUGGGAUUAUAUUUGGCGCGGCGCACCUCAAUUCCAUUUAAAAGGAUUUUCAAACUAAAGUUGGGGAGCCAUAGACUAUUGGUGUUAAUAAUAUGGCUUACCUCCACUGACUAUGAUAAUUGAAGGUGACUUAAACAAAACUGUAACAUACUCUCCAAAUUGACGCCCAGAUCCAGGUCCUCAAAUUAAGAGGCUGUCUAAAGGCGAUGGACCUCUUUUCAAUUUAAAAUGAUCCCACUGCUCAGGCCCAAAAUGGGUCUGUAUCUUUGUGGAACCAAGAGUAUACGUGAUCAAACCUCAAGUUCAAAUCUCCUAGCAUACAUUCCGUAUUGGAAAAUCAAACGGGAUAUCAACAUCAAAUCCAACAAUGCAAGUUACAUAUUCCCUCAGAUUCGAAACAAAUUAAGCUAAACAAAACCUCAAGGAUUUCCAAAUGGACAAUUUAGCAUUAAAACUAACCGAAAACAUGCUCAUAACUACAACAUGAUUCUUCAGUACUUUACUUGACCCUUAAGAUCAUUGGCCCAUCAGAUGAUUCACUUCAAAAUCCCAACAACUCUGAGCCGUUACACUUAAACAGAUUCGAGUCCAAAGAUAAAAUAAAACACAACAAUGAUGAUGAAUUACUACACAUGAUGACUAACUAAGGAGACGUGAGAAAAUUGAAUGAAAUCCAAUAAUUAUUUAAGAAAUAUGCAGUAGCUAUCAAUAUUGUGGACCCUUUUUCCUUUUAAUCACAAUUGCAAUGCUUCAAAAAUCAAAGAACACAUUCAGCCAAACUUAUUGGUGAACACAUGAGCAAUUGAAUACGACUAAACUAAUGCCAAACCAAAGAAUGACUCAAUACUAAUUUCAGCAAGACCAAUUACAAUUACCAGACUACUUCCACACGUGUGGAUACCAAAACUGUUUAUUCGGUCUUGAAAUAGUCCCGAUUCAAUUACAAGUGAAGUUAUCUACUUAACAUAUAGAUUAUCUAAAAGUAUAGCAUGCUCAAGUACAAAUCUAAAGUGAAACAGAAUGGAAUAAAGGAGGGUUGGAAUGGGACAUUCAAAUCCUUCUUUCUCAUUCUUCAAAUCCAACAUUUCAACAAUCAAUAGCUUUACAAUGUGUACCUGAAAUGAGAAAUAACCAAAAACCAAGCAGGGUCAGUUGGCUAGCAGCUUCGUAGCACAGCAGCAGUUUGAAAAAUAGUUUCAAGCCCAGAAAAUGAAGUGAAACAGUCCAGAAAUGAUUUCAAACCAAACAGUGAACCAAAAGACCUCCACCGGACUCGAUCUUAAAUCAUUUCCACUGUCAGCUAACCAUAAAUUAGUUCAACCUAGGAGAAAAUUCAAAAAUCCCCUACAGUACUCAAUGAUACAGUAACUCUAUUGUAGAUUUCAACCCGGAUUUUUUAAAAGAAAACAAAUUCAAACCAUUUCAACCCUCGAUACAUCAAAGAUGGUUUCAGCCAAUUCGAGAUUAAAAACCAGAAAAUAGAAAUCAAUGAAAUAGUAAUUUCUAGUUUUUUCAGUAUUUUCCAAGUUAUUUUCCUUUUGUAUCUCCCUUUUCUACUCUCUUGUUUAUCUAUCCUAUUUUCAGUCUGUUCAACUCUUUUAAAUAAGCAUUCAGCUUAGUGCCUUCUCCAUUACCAAUUUACCUUUUCAUUUAUUAAUUGUCCACUUAACCUAGUUAGUGUUAUUCUAACCCUACCACUAUUGAGAAGCUUCUUAAUUGGGUGAACACUUUAAACUUAUACUGAUCAAUUCUUAUCAACAUAAUUAAACCAAAAGUUAAACCAAAUUAUUGAACUUAAUCCUAAUUAUUCUGACUAAGUGAUUAAAUGAGAUACGAUUUCAAAAUCUUAAAACAAACUGAUAUCCCAAUUAUACGAAACAAAUCCACAAAACUAAUCUAAAGAAACAAACAGUGGACAUAAAUAAUUUAUACUAGAGGACUGGUCGAAUUUUAAUUAAAAUUGACCAGAAAAAGAAAAAAGAGAUGAGAAAGACGAGCAUCAGAAUAAUACUAAAAAAUAUAAACAUAGAAGCAGGACAGAAAACUCACCGGUCAGUAGUAAUUGAAGAAAACCUUCGAAUCUUCAAUUUUUAAACAAGAUUUUGACUUUAACUGUGUGUUUUUAUCAAGAACACAUAGAUAAAGUCAAAAUUAGCUUAAAGUAUCAACGAAUCUUGACUCUGUAGUUUUAGGUUUAAAACUUAGAUUCAUUAUUCGACAAGUUCUAGUUUGAUUCGAGGGUAACGGAUCGUGGAUUAGGGAAGAUGGGAGUGAUGUGGCUUCAGGGUGUUAAUUUGGGGGUGCUUGGGUAAGUUAAGGUUCGGGGUCGGAUCUUCAAUCUGAAAUUCGAAAGAUUCCAGGGAUGUUCGAGGGAAACUAGUCUAGGAUUUGGAAAGAGAAGACGGAGGGGAUUGUAUGGUGUAAUUUUGGGGUUGUUUGGGGGUUGUCCGCCGCCGUGGGCGAUUUACGGUGGGCGGCAGAUGGUGGUGUGAGGUGGUGCCUGGCUGGUCUCUGAAGGUUAGAGACGAGAGAGAGAGAGUAUGGAGUUUUUGAGAGGGGGGGGGGGUAAGGUUUUGGGUAUAUUAAAAUUAGGGAAUUAAUUAGAGCCGUUGGAUGAAUGAAAUCCAGUGGCUAUGAUUAAUCUCUUAAUGAAACGGGGUUGUUUUAGGUUAAGAUGGGGCGGUCCGGGUAUGGGAACGGGUCUGGGCUUGGGUCAUGGGCGAGGUUAUGGACCGUUCGAUCAAGUGAGAUCGACGGUCCUGAUCAAACUAUACCAAACGACGUCGUUUGAUAUGGCCUGGGAUGGACUAGGUUUUGACACGGGUUUGGGCUGGAUCGGGCAGGUUUGGCUGGGUAAUUNNNNNNNNNNNNNNNNNNNNNNNNNUUUUUGAAUGUUUUUAUUUUUGUAAAACAACAAUUCACUUAAUUAAUCUAAAAAAUGUAAAAUUAAAUCCUAAAUGCAGAUACUAUAUUUUUUUAUUUUUAAUGCAUUAAACAUGUACACAAACAUAUCCAAACAAUCAAGAAAAUAACAUAAUAAUUCCUAAAAAUAACACAUAAUUAAAGAAAAGACCUAAUUUUGGGAAUUCUUUUGGAGUAAUUCGUAUGAAGCAAAAAUCACGUGUUCACAGCUGCCCCUCUUUGCCCAAAAAUACGAAAAGUUUUCGUGAAAAGAUAAAGUGAGCGGAUACGAGCGAUUUUUGCCAGUUUAAAGACUCCGUGGGAAGCAUUUUUUUUGAAAGAAUUUGACCGAACCUUUGCUUCAAAGGUUUCCUACAUAUCCUUGGCUAUAAAGGAAUCAUGUUAAUGUAGUUCGGGAAGUUUCGGUAGCUAGGACUACCAUGAAGCUGUGGUUUCACUAUUACUGCUGCUGCUGCUGCUGAUACUGCUUACUGACCUCCUUAUUACACCAUGACAAAAUGAAGAAGCUAGACUAAGCUAUAAUCUAUGCUUUACAAAGAUUUAUUUUCAAACUUGGUCUUGUGACUGUUGUUGCCUUGUUGACUUGAAUUUUCUUCAGAAGUUCCUUUGUUGCUCACUCGAAUUGUAUUUUUGAGAUGCUUUCCCUCUCCUCCAGGCGGGCACCUCAUUUGUUGAACCUUUAAACGUCUUAUUUUGACCAUUGUUGCCUAUCUCUGUUCUCCAGACGGACCCCUGAUUGCUUGGACUUGAAUUGCUUCCUCCCUUCGUUCUCCAGGCGGGCUCCUGAUUAUUGAAACUUGAAUUGUAUUGCCUCUAUUAUUUUCCAGGUGAGCUUCUGAUUACCAAAACUUGAACUGCUUUCUAUUCUUUGAAAUUAGUAUUGUCCUUCCCUGUUCUUCAGAUGGGCAUCUAACUUCCAAAACUUGGGUUGUGUUCCCUUGUUCUCCAGGUGGGCUCAUGACUGCUUGACUUGAGUUGUAUUCCAUUGCUCUCCAGGUGGGCGCCUGAUUGCUGAAACUUUAACUGUUGUCCUUUGUUCUCCAGGUGGAUGCCUGAUUACUGAAUCUUCAACUGCUUUUCCUUGUUCUCCAGAUGGACGCCUGAUUGCUUGAUUUGAACAGUUUCUCCUUGUUCUCCAGGUGGAUGCCUGAUUGUUGAAGCUUGAAUUGCAUUCCCUUGUUCUUCAGGUGGGCUCCUGACUGCCGGGUCUUUAACUGCUUUUCCUUGUUCUCCAGGUGGACGC